Molecule: long non-coding RNA, 21740 nt
Filed under: Homo sapiens (human)
Lineage: Eukaryota; Metazoa; Chordata; Mammalia; Primates; Hominidae
Description: non-protein coding lnc-TRMT61B-5:3
Source: RNAcentral
CGUGAGCCACCAACAUGAACUCCAGCUUCUCCUUCUCCUUCUGCAGCUCAGCAAUCUCCUUCUGCAGGCCUGACUUCUCCUCCUCCAGCUCCUCUGUCUCCUGCCACGGAAAGAGAGGGAUGUGAGGGACAGCAACCUGCCAGGGACCAAUCUAGGCAGGAAAGAGAAAACCAGUAAUGUUCUCAGACACUGUGAGAGCAGAGGCUCACACACCUAACCACAGACCCCGCUGGUCUGAGUCUCUCAGUCACCUGGAGGCUCAAGAUUCCUUUCAUUUCCAAAGAAGGAAAGUCAGCUUGGAGAGGGGGUAAGACAACAACUGCAGCUGCCAUAACCCAGCACCUACUUUGUGCAGGGCACAGUGUUAAGCAUUUCAGAGAUGAUCUCAUUCAAUCUUCCAGGAGUUUUUUGGAAGCAGAUGUUAUCAUCGCCCCAUUUUGCAGAUGAGGAAACUGAGGUUCAGAGGGGUUCUGUUAAUUUUCCAAAGUCACCGAGCUAGCAGGUGGGGUAGCCCAGAUUUGAUUCCCAAUGUAUCUGACUCCAGGGUCUAUGUUCUAUGGCCUUGGUGCCAGGACUGCCCCCUCGGUACCCCUGAGGGGUGAGUACUGCAGAGAUCUGCAUGGAGAAGGGGGUACGGAACACAGCUCUACCCACCUCUCUCCUUCUCUUACUCCCCAACCCCAUGCCAGCCCACCUGUGGAUGGAUAAACGCUAAGCCCUAGGCUGCUAGAGAGUGGAGACUUUGUCAUGCACACUCCUGUAUCCCUAGCACCUAGAACAGUGCCUGGCUUCUCAGAAGUGCUCAGCAAAUCCCUGUGGGAUUAUCACAGCCUCUCCUCCUCCCUUUUUUCACUCCAAUUUCUUUCUUUUUUUUUUUUUUGAGACAGAGUCUCACUCUGUCUUACCCAGGCUGGAGUGCAGUGGCAUGACCUUGGCUCACUGCAGCCUCUGCCUCCCGGGUUCAAGCUAUUCUCCAGUCUCAGCCUCCCGAGUAGCUGAGACUACAGGCACCUGCCACCACACCCGGCUAAUUUUGUAUUUUUCAUAGAGAUGGGGUUUCACCACAUCGACCAGGCUGGUCUUGAACUUCUGACCUCAGGUGAUCCACCCGCCUCAGCCUCCCAAAGUGCUGGGAUUACAGGCAUGAGCCACGGCGCCUGGCCUUUUGCUCCAAUUUCUUAAGCACAUAUUUCAGGACUCCCAGAACCCUCAGAGAACAUUUGGUUCAGCCACCACGCUUGACACAGAAGUAACGUGACAGCCCGAGAGGGCCUGUGAGGAUGCCAGGGUCACCCCGCAAGGACCUCAGCCCCCUUCUUUCAUCCCCAGCCAGAGAAGCAGAAGCGAGCAAGUGCACGUGGAGGGGCCGCUGUGGGAGGGGAAGAGGUGUGUGUCACCAGCCUCCUCCCCACGUUUUCCCUAACAUGGAUUCCUGUUCAUCAGUGAGGACAUACGGGCAAGGGCUUCGUUCAGCAGAGGACAGCAUAUUCCGGAGUGAAAAACAGUUUCCGUCUGUCUCAAGGGUCUGACGAACGUCAUGAGCUUCUGAGAGGCUUCCUGUGGAGGAUGUGGCUCAGGGGCCUGGGUGGCUGGGUCAGAGGGCGGGGGAGGUGGGGGAGGCAGGGGAGUAGGGUGUGAGGCCUCUGGGAGGAGGGAAGGAAAGUAGAGGAGCCUCAGGGGGCAGGGCUAUUCCGGGGCGGGUGGUGAGGAGCGCCACAUGGGGCACAGCUCCUUGAAGUGCCAAUCACAGAAAGGUUAGUGGUGGGAGGGCCCGCUGAGGAAGUGGAUUGUGGAUCUGCCUCACCUGGGAAUGAAGAAUUCCCACUCAUCCUCCCCGGCUCUAACACCUCCGAGGGCCAUUACUACAGGCAUCACAGAAUUCACGCAAUUCAAUUCAUUCAACACCCCAGAGUGAGGGCUGCAGGACAGAGAAAGACAAGCCUAAGUGGGUGGAUGGUACCUGGAAACAUUAACUCAAGUGAGGGGAUGGGCCAGGCGUGGUGGCUCACGCCUGUAAUCCCAGCACUCUGAGAGGCCAAGGCAGGCAGAUCACCCGAGGUCAGGAGUUCGAGACCAGCCUAGCCAACAUGGUGAAACCCUGUCUCUAUUAAAAAUACAAAAAUUAGCCGGGCAUGGUGGCAGGCACCUGUAAUCCCCGCUAGUUGGGAGGCUGAGGCAGGAGAAUGGCUUGAACCCAAGAGGCAGAGGUUGCAGUGAGCUGAGAUCGUCCCACUGCACUCCAGCCUGGGCGACAAGAGCGAAACUCCAUCUCAAAAAAAUUAUAAUAACAAAAAAAGUGUGAGGGGAUGUUUUCCAAAGCCCCAUCCUGGGCAGUCACUGUGAGGACCACUGACAGAGUCUCUCUCAUCUCCUCACUCUGAAAGCAUUCCACUGGGGAGAGUCAACCCUGGCUCGGGGCUUCCUCCACACAGCACACGGCCCUUCCUGCAGGGCCAGGCUCUGAAGGGAGUUACGUGACGUUGGUCAGGUCAAGCUUAACAGAGGGAAGGGCAGGGCUGCGGGUCCCCAGGUCUGGGCAAUUAGGCGGCACGGGAGAGUGACUCACAAGAGCAGCACGCGGUACCAUGGCCACAGCUCUGAGUUCAUGAUAGAGGUGGGGAACCCGCCUGCCCAUAAAGGAAAUGAGAAAACCCCAAGAAAAUACAACCCUGCUGCCACGUGACCUAUCUCCAUCAAGACUUCUCCCUGGCCCAACCCAGAGUGCUUAGGCCAGGCUGGGCCACUCCUGAUGGCGGCAGGCAUGGGAGUGGCUGGAACCUCGGGAAGCAGCCCUGGAUGGGGCAGGUCUGGACCUGCCCUGGCUCCCACCCUCCAUCAUCCCUCACCCAGGAGCCCCCACAGUUCUGUGAGCAGAGAACACUCAGGUGCUGCGUAAAAACCGUGGCUAGCACCCCCACAGAAGGUUGUUCAUUUCUUCCCUCUGGGCCCUGGCUGGUGCUAAACGCCACCUCCCUCUCUCUCUCUCUUUUCAAUCAACACAAUGCUGACCCAUGUGUCCAAAGGAAGGAAAGCUCUAUCUCCACUGACUCAUCUGUAGGGCAUUUGUGGGUAAGGAGACAGCUGUGGGAGAGAGGAUCAGGACCCCCGGGGCUCUCACUCCAGCCCACCCAGAGGUGCUCCCACCCUACGCAGAGUUCCUCACCGCCUGCAGCUUCUCUGUCAGCUCCCGGCGUCGGUUCCGGCACUUGGCUGCAGCCAGCUUGUUCCUCUCCCGCCGGAUGCGACGCUUCUCCUCCUCUUCAGGAGACAGCUAGAGGCCAAAGCCAAGGAUCAUGGUUAGAACAGAGACAAUGGUUCACAGUAUUUUUUAAAAACUGUAUUUUAAGUAAGGCAAGAAGCCCUUCUGGAAAUGGAGAAAGGAGAAGGAAGGGCAAGAGGAGCAUGGCUGGACUCAGAGGCCCCAGAACAUGUGGAUCCCUGAUGUCUGGCUGCCUGGGAGGGCUCUUUUGAGCUGAAUCUGCCCCGGAAGGUGAUGUCCAAGUUUAAAGUCCAUGUUUAAACAGGACAGCAAUGGGUCAGAGAUUCACUGGCCCAGGCAUGAUGGCAGCACCUAUCACAUCAGCCCUGAUUCAGUGCUCAGGCCAGAGAGAAGGAGCUGGGGAUGCUUCUCCAAGAGUCCCCUCCUGCCAGCCAGGCGUGGCCCCACCCACUUAAGCAGCUUCUUCCAAACCCUGGCUAAUUUCUCCUCCCAUCACUCUGCCUGCUCUGCAAGCCUCAUUAUCCCCAUUUUGUUAAGUAGCUGGGCCUGGAGUCCCCACACAGGUUAAGAACCACCCAGGGGGGAAUGUUAUGUUGCUGAUGGGAGGGCCAAGAGUGCCACUCCACUCCCGAUUUCCUCUGCCAAUCCCAGGGUGCCAGCUGCUCACGGUUCAACCCCAGGUACUCCCCCACAUGCCUGGUACAGUGCUAAGUUGGACAGGACAUGCAAAAGGAAGAGGAGCCCCCAGCAGGUAAAAUCCUGCUGCCCACCAUAUCUGUCCACUCAACAAGUGAGCACCUGGUUCCAUGUGCAAGAUGAAGUUCUACGGGCUUGGGAUUUAUCUGCGAACCAAACAAAGGAAGAUUCCCCUGCAAAGAGCUUAGGAUCUAGCUUCUUCCAGUGAGACAGUUAGGAAUCUGUCACUCAUACCGGAAAGCAUGAACUCUGCUCUACUGAGCAGGGCAAAUGCUCUGGUUCUACAGAGCCCUGCAGAGCUGUGACCCCAAUGCCUCUCUCAGGCAGAGGUGACACAAGGAGACGGCUGUGGGCCAAAGCAGAAAGCAACACAAAGGGAAAGCCCACCCAUUCAGUUAUCAGACGUUGACUGCACACCUACUAACUGCCCGGUGCUACACUAGGAGCUUAGAAGAUCUCAAGGGGAAUAAGACCUGGGUCAGCUCUCACGGGACACCUGGGGGCAAAAUCAAAGCUACUUUUGGAGGAGCAGGGAGAAGCUACCCCAAGGAGGGAUACUGCCUGGACUUCAGGUCACCCCAUGAAGGAAAGAGCCACUGUCCUGGUUGGGUCCAAGUCAGAGUCCCACAAUGCUCCCUUUAGCCCUGGAGGUCUGUUGCUGUGAUGUUUUGAACAGCAAAGAGAGGACAAUCAUCACAGCACCAGAGAGGACAAUCCCAUGCCUGUCACACAGAGGGAAGUCCACAGCCCGGCUGAGGUCAUGAGGCCAUUUGGCCAAGGCCCUGAAUACUUCCUGCUCCUAAACCUGUCUUGUCUUGAGCCCAGCAGAAUUGCCAAGAAAGCCUUAUGGCCCUGCUGCAGGCCUGGGUUUAGGGCUCACCACUGAAAGGGCCACCAGGGCUCCCCUUAAGGCCCAGGAAGCCCCCUAGAUCCCUCGCUAAUGAGAGGCAGAAAAGAAGGAGGCUGGCCUUGACCCAGUUCAAGCCCUCCUUCCCCCUUGGCUGCUUCUGGACAACUUUUGGCCUCCUGACUGACCUAGAAGUCUCUCCCCUGACUGGUGAGGUGUGGGGCAACUUGUGGGAGCUGUCAACAUAGGAAGUGUUCAGGGGCGGUGAGAUCAACAUGGUUCCAGCUUGAGUGUGUCAGCAGCACCAUGUACCCACCCACAAGCCACACACACCCUCCCCUCCCCACCUCCUCAGAGUCGCCGCCACAGGGCACAGAGGGAACCUCCCAAGAGGAGGCCUAUGAGGCACCAGGCCGGCUCCGGAGGCAGGCUCCUCCCUAGCAGGGAGGCUGGGGGAGGCUGGGGACGGCCGGAGUAAGCUUCAGAGCAAAGCCCUGAGGGCUGGCAACCUGAACAGCCAAAGUUCUAGGCUGCCACUGCCCAGGCUUCCUUAAAGCUGCUGGGAGAUGUGUGAAUUCCCAACUGAUGUGGGAUACAAUGCUCCUUGUUCUCUCCCUCCCUCUCAAAAAAGGAAGGAAACUCUCCAGACAGAUUGUAUGAGGCACGCCUAGGUGGUGUGGUGGGAAAACCACAGGGCCAAAGGUCAGGAGAAGUGGGUUCCAGUGCUGGCUCUGCUACUAAUUCACUGUGAGACUCUAACAGGGCCCUUCACCUUUCUGGGUCUCCGUUUCCUUGUCUGUAAAAUGGGUAUAAAGGGAAAAUGAGAAAAGAUGGUCUCCAAAGUCCCUCUGGAUACAAAUUUCUAAAUUUGGUGUGAGGUAGGCCCAGAAGAGAAUGGAGAGCGUGGCCGGGCGCGGUGGCUCACGCCUGUAAUCCCAACACUUUGAGAAGCUGAGGCGGGUGGAUCACCUGAGGUCAGGAGUUCGAGACCAGCCUAGCCAACAUGGCAAAAUUCCAUCUCUACUAAAAGUACAAAAAAAAUUAGCCAGGCAUGGUGGUGCAUGCCUGUAAUCCCAGCUACUCAGGAGGCUGAGGCAGGAGAAUUGCUUGAACCGCGGAGGUGGAGGAGGUUGUAGUGAGCCGAGAUCGUGCCACUGCAUUCUAGCCUGAGUGAUAGAGCAGGACUCCAUCUCAAAAAGAAAAAAAAAAAAAAAAAAAAAAAGGGAAUGGAGAGCAUUCAGCACAUCCUCAGGCUUUGUGGUCCUGCUAGCCCCAAAGAGUACCUGGCAAGCCUGGCUCUCACUCAGGAUCACUUAUAUCCCAGAAGAGUCCAGCUCAUCAGUGAGUAUAAGGCUUUGCACCUUGGAUUCCGUGAAGGAAGCCUAUUUAUAAAAGUCCUUACAAGCAUGGCUACUGCAAUAUUUACAACUGCAAUUAUAGAAAGCAACUGUGAGGAGGAUACUGGCCACUUGCUCCAGCAGCAGAGGCCCAACAUGCAGCUGUGAAUCCAUUAUAGUGUCUAGCAGACACACCUCCCCAAGUGGCUCUGCACCGUGGUUCUGCCAUUAACAGAACAAACCAACAAGUAGUGGAUACAAGACCCAGCUUUGUCCUCGCAGGAGCAGAGCUCCUGAGAAAGCUUCCAGUUUCUUGGUGUGGUGAUCCCUGUAAUUCCAAGUAUCCUGGGGUCUGGAUCUACCCUGAUCCACUGGGAACCAUGUUUGAAAGGUCCGUAUAUUGGAACAUUGUGGCCCUGGGGAUCACAGAGUGAAGAUGGACAGUGGUUGAAAUGAGGAAGGGUUCCAAGGCUGUCACUGAAAUAGUUUCCCAGGAUAACAAUUCAUUUGAAAAAGGGAUUCCACUGCUAAAGUAUUUUUCCCUUCCCUGGGCUCAGGGUGGCAUAGCCCUGGAGAAAGAAUACUGCAUAGGGGGUCCAGGGAACUGGGAUCUAGCCCAGACUUCCCCACUCACUGGCCGAGUGGCCACACACAGGUAUGUCUGGCCCUUGCUUGUAUCAUCUGACAUGGGGGAGAGGUGGGGCUCUCUGAGGCUUUAUCCCAUUCUUUCUGGAAUUAUGCAUGAUUCUGAUUUCCCUUUCCAAGACCAGGGAACUUGGCACUGCCCUGGCUUACUGCUGAUCCAGGCAAUGAGCCUCUUGAGUACUAGGUAGGUGCUGCCUAAAUAGCAGAGCCCCCCCUUCCCCAUUUUCUGGCUUCCCUCCCCAGCCAGGUUAAUUCUUUCUCAAAGCUGAGCCCCUUGAAGAGAAAAGGGCUGAUGUCUGGCCUCCCCUGCCUCAUCCUCCUGUCCAUGCCACUGAACAGACUCCUAAGGCCCCAGAGUUACUGCACCUCUGGAACAUGCAUUCCAGGCCCUUGAAAUAGGCUCCUGCUCCGAGUUGGAGGCCUAGAACACUGAGGAGGAAUGGGAAGUCGUGGGCAGUACCGACCCAGAGCUUGACCCCGUAGGUCUGCUGGGUGCCUGGCCUGCACUAGACCCUGGGAGACGGCUAAGGGAUAAUCCUAAAAAGCUCACAGCCAGGGUUCAUUGGCUGCUUGUCCCAUGGCCCUUUUGCCAAGGAUCAGAGAAGGAUCCUGCUGUGGGCAGGUCGUAAUGGUCCUUCCCAUCUGUAGCCAAGUCCUGGCUUGCAGGGACCAUGAUCCCCAUUUUGUGGCUGAGGAAAGUGAGACUCAGAGAUUCUAAGGGACAUAAGCGAGAUGACAGAGCCAGCCUGAGUCUUGGCUCUCCAGCUCGGCCUCCAGUAAGGGGGAUGACGUGCUCUUCGACCCCUAGCUCCCUUGUCUCCCCUGCUCUCAGAACAUUAACCCUCCCAGUCUGCAGAAACCCGUUCUGUGUUUCUGGGGCUCUGAAAGCCACUGACGUGGCUCCUUCCCACUGGUCUGAGCUGUACCUGCUCAUCUCUCCUCCUGCGGCCCACGGUGGUGCCAAUGGUCUUGAUCACGCCAGGUCUUGGGAGGGCCAUGUGUCCAGGGACAGAGGCCAGGCCCGGCAGGGGGCUGUAGGGGUGCGAGCGAGGGUAUGGGUUGGACAUGGAGGUGAUCACUGUGGGCUGCACCAUCCACUGCAGGUCCUGGCUGGUCGUGAUGGCGUUGAUGGUGGGGAUGAAUGCACUGCCUGAGCCAGGCAUAUCUACCCGGAAUUUCUGAAAUGAGGAAAAAAAAUACAAAUGAGCCAAUAAAUACUAAGCUGAACAGGAUAGUUAAUAAUAAUUGAACAGAGCUGAGGCAAAAACCAGCACAGAGCACAGUCAGUGUUCGAAGGGCAAGGUCAGGACCCCAGGUGGGCCUGGACAAGUCCUGUGCAUCCAAGAAUCAAGGGGGGAAUCUUAAUUAUGCCUGGGGCUUCACGUCGGAUCUGCUCCCUGACUGGGGUCCUGAGAACUCCAUCCCCAGGUGGCUCAGUGAGGAUACUGUCCUAUUCCAAAUGACUUCCAAGAUAGACGUGGUCCCCAGCACUCACACUCGGCAGGCCCUCUUGGCAGCUCUCCAGGAUACACAUCUGCAGGAUGUGGCACCUGGGUUUUUAAGCCUCUGAGUCGCCUGCCAACUGUUUCUCAGGGUACCAGCUCAGGACACCUUGAAGGGAUUUGCACACCAGUAGCCUUGGACCAACAAAGAUCACCAAGGGAGCAUACUGUGUCUGCCUUUGUCACUUUCCAAAGAGGUUCAGGACAGAGCUAUGACUCCAUCAGGGCACAGCCAGGUCCGUGAAAAGAUGUCCUCUAACCCAGGAGACUAACAAGUAGCGGCAUUUGCAGCCAGACAUCCCUUGCUGUCCUUGUCCCUCCUCCCUUCCCAUCAUCAGCAUCUUGCUUGGGGCAGACUGGCUGAGUGUGUCUCUCUACCCAGCUACAUAGGCAUUGAUCUAUGUUCACAGAUGUUUCUGUGGGAAACUCUGGUGCUGCUAGUGCAGUUUUCUCCCCGCUUCUUAAUUUAUGCCCAGACCACGUUGCAGAGCUCUCUGGAACAUGCUGCAGGAAGCAUUCUAUUUAAAAUAUAAGAUGAUGACAGAGUAUAGAAACUAAAAUGGGCUGUGCUCCUUAGCAGCUGGUCCUGACCUUUCUCCAAGGCAGCUACUGGAAACUGCAAGAAGCGGGAAGGAGAGAAGAGCCCCCUACUUCCAGCUUUUCAGAGGCAAGUCCCCCUAAUGGAACCCAGGUGAACCUUCAUCUUCAGAUGACUCCUGUGUCCACAUAAAGCUUCUCCAAGUAGUUUCUUCCCCACUUAAAAACUGGGUGAGAUGAAGACAAUAGCUAACAACACUUCCUGGGCACUUACUAAAUGUCAGACACCAUGGCUUACCUAGAUUAUCUCACUAAUUCUCUCUCUGAGUGAAGAACGACCAUUAGCUCCAUUUUAGGGACAGAAAUUUAGGCUUAGUGAGAUUAAGUAACUUAUUCAAGGCCACAUUGCUAAUAAGCAGCGGGGUCAGGAUUCAAACCCAGUCCAGCCUGACAAAGAGGCCAGAGCCCCUGAACACAGUGGUAUACAAGCUCCUUUUCCAUUGCUUUCUUCCUCAAAAUCCAGCCCUAAGUGCUGGUUAUCCACCCCCACUGCCCUCAGACAGAGUGUCAGGUCAUCCCCUAUAGACCUCCCCUCUCACAAAGAAGGUACCACAGGUCUGUCUGGCCCCGAAUGGAACCCCACUAUCAUUAGCAUGGAUGCUGUAGAACCCUCCCUAUGCUGGUCCAAUCAGACCAACUAGGAUAGAAGCAUUCGCAGCAAUGGAAGCUGGCACCACCAUUGUCUUUGCCUUGUCACAACAUCAGGGUUCCUGCUGUGUAAAUAACACAUAGAGUACCUCACUACAGCUGACAGAGCUGGGGACCCCUUCUUGCUCAAUUCCCUGCUAUCUGCCUGACCCUAGUCUGCAUGUUGGAACGGCUGCCUCAUCAACCAGACCACCUCGGGGGCCCAGGCCAAGGGCUUCAGUGAAGAGAGCUGCCCAGCACAAUGGAUUCUGGGAUUCUGGAGGAAAGUUACCCAGUGCAAUGGAUUCUGGGGUUUGGGAGGAGAGCUGCCUAAAGCAAUUGGUUCUAGGAUUCUGGAGGAAAGUUACCCAUUGCAAUGCAUUCUGGGAUUCGGGAGGAGAGCCACCUAGAGCAAUGGGUUCUGGGAUUCUGGAGGAAAGUUACCCAGCACAAUGCAUUCUGGGAUUCGGGAGGAGAGCUGCACAGAGCAAUGGGUUCUGGGAUUCUGGAGGAAAGUUACCCAGUACAAUGCAUUCUGAGAUUCAAGAGGAGAGUUGCACAGAACAAUGGUUUCUGGCAUUCUGGAGAAAAGUUAUCCGGUGCAAUGCAUCAUUCUGAGAUUCAGGAGGAGAGCUGCCUAGAGCAAUGGGUUCUGGGAUACUGGAGGAAAGUUACCCAGUACAAUGGAUUCUGGGAUCCCGUGAAGAGAGCUGCCCAGGGUGAUAGAUUCUGAGUUGCAUUUCUGAAGGCAAAGAAAAGUGGGCUUUUUAUCAGGCGCUGACUGAAAAGCAGCAGGUGUGUGCAUAUGAAGGAGGGAAGAGUGCAGUGAACAGGAAAGCAUCCAAGUGGGAAAUGAUCUUCAAGGAGGAAAAAUGGCCAAUUGGGGCUGGGCUGUGAGUAGGCAGAGUCGUGAGAACAGCAGGCAUGGCUGAGUGUGUGUAGAAGCACCAAGUCCCAGACAGCUAUUUUUUUCCUGAGCUGCUGGAUGGGAGGGGCGGGGAGUCAACACUGCACUCGGGGUCAGGAGGCAUGGGGUUGAGGCCUGGCUUAGCCACUGAGUGCCUUGCCCUGGGCUCAAGGACUCAAUUCCAUGGAUGUAAAGGGGAAUACUCAUCAAACUCACUGCACUGCCAUGAGGAUUAAAUGAGUAGCUACUUGUAAUCACAGGCUAUAAAAGCACGCCAGUGGUUCUCAACCCUGGCUACACAUUAGAAUAUUCCAAGGAGCUUGUAAAAAACACACUAAUGUCAGAGCCUCGCCAUUAGACCUCUAAAAUAAUUGGUUUGGGGCAGGGCUCUGAUAAGCUUUUUUUUUUUUUUUAAACCCCCAAGGAGAGUCUGUUGUGCAGCCAGGGUUGAGAAACAUUGCUCCAAACCAAUGGAAGGUCACCAUCACCACCACCAUCAUCAUUAGAUGUGCCUGUGUACUCUGCCCAGGAGGCUCUGGGGAGAAGUGCCAGCUACCCACUCCUGGGAAGCACCCAACUUUUAAAUUCCAUUUCUCUCCCCAAGCCAGGUUCUGGGUUUGAAAUGCACCUGAGGCAUUCAGCACAAUGGUUUGAUAUGACUCCCUCCUCCAUGGGGAAGCUGUCAGCUUUCCUUUUAGGAAAGCACCUAAGAAAGUCACUCCUCAUUCCAACAAAUAAAAGUGCUCCCGUUUUAGGCUUGGGGAACCCAGCAGAAAAUCUGAAGCAAAGCUGAGGGACAAAGACCCCUUCAGAAUAAGUGGAUGCCUAUUAGCCCCUCUGAGGCCCUCUAGUCCACCCGCUCUGGAGGGCAGGUCCGUGGUGUGUGCUCCCCGGUAUACAUCAGCCAGAUUCCUCGCAGCAAUGGCUUGGUCUAGACAAAACAAGACAGCAAUAAAAACCAGCCAGGAGGUAAUGACUGCCUCUGAAACGCAUGUACACCUUGUUUCAGACAGGAGGCAAAGCCAUCUGGAUAAUACACUGGCUCUAAACUGCAAGGAAAACAAUGUCCCAUCCCCAGAGGGGCCCGGGGCUCUGAUAAAGAAGGCUUUUGUCUCCAAGAGGAGCUUCUCUUGGAGACACACAAAAGUUUCAAUUAGAUCUGGCAGAUGGGUCUUGUCUCAACUCCCAGCAUGUUAUUCAGAAACGUGUUAUUCAGAAACGUGUUAUUCAGACACUGGGGUAGGAGAGAAGAGGUGAAGUUAGGAGUUUGUGGUCCCAGAAGUUAGCCUAGCAUUCUUCUAUGCCAAUAGACCCGAGAAUCAGCCACAUGUCACACUGGAGAUAAAUCGUGGUUCUCUACGGACGAGUUAACACUAAACACAAACCAAGAUAGAGCUGCUCAGCUGGGGGCUACAGGGCAGUUUCAAACCUGCUGCAUGCAUGCCAGGAGUGUGCUGGGAGUGAUGGGAUCAGGAGAGGUAACCCAAAACCUCACUCGGCUGCCUGGGGCUCUGUAGCCAACAUGUCCUCCUCAAGGACACUUUGAAGAUGCUGGAUGCCUAUGUAGCAUUCCAGCCUGGCAAAGCCUCCAAAUAUUUCACUGUGUCACCCUGUCAACUGCGGGGUGGGCAAGAAUGCCUAUAAAAGGAUAUAGUGGUCCCCAUCCACCUCCUAGAGCAGAGUUUAGCAAACUUUUGCUGUGAAGGGUCAGACAGCAAAUAUUUUAGGCUUGGUGGGCUAUACGGUCUUGGCUGCACCUCAAUUCUGCCACUGCAGUGCGAAAGCAGCCCUAGAUAACAUGUAAACAAAUAGGCAGGACUGUGCCACUGUAUUUUAUUUAGAAAAAUACUCAGGACAUAGUUUGCCAACCCCUGUCCCAGAGGUUCAUUCUCAUCUCCCAUGCUCAGGUUGGAGGGAAACGAAUACAGAGGAAAUAAGAAAGCAAAAAGUCAGAACUGAGAUGUUCCUCCAACCCAGGUAGCCGAGGAGACGGGCUCUCACUUAUCAGCUUGAACCUCCAGACCCUGAGCCGACGUUCAAACCCUUACAAGCCUUGUGGUCUUUGGGCAUGGAAACUCCCAUCACCCUGCUGUACCCUGUUGCUAGGGUGCCACCGGGCUGCUUGGGAAGGAUGCGUGUGCUCCUUCCACUGCCAAUGAGAAAGACGGCCGAAAACACGGACCCUCUAGGGCCACCAAACCUCAGCAGGUCAGAGAAGUUCCCCCCACAACAGUUGCUGAUUUGGGAAAACUGCCUCCUGAGACUCUAUACUGGAGCCUUGGCUUCAGCUAUGAACCCAUGGCUUUUUGCUGACAGGUAUUGGAACUAGGGUUUGGGCCCCUACAGGACCGGAUGGGGCCGAGGGCUUAUCCCAGAGACUCGUGAGUGGGCAGAACUGGUAUGUGAGAUGGAAGUCAGGGUUGGGGUUCUUGGCCCAGCCCCUUGGCCAGGCGAUUCUCCAUCAGAUAGAUUUUUGUCUGGGUUAUCAAGCAUUCAAGCCAUGAAGCCCUGUGGACUCUGUAAACUGCCUUGCCAGGCAAGCAGGUAUGAUUGAGUGUAUCUAGGAAGGGACUGGGUUCUUUCCCUUUAAGAACCCUUUCUUUAGAUUCCCAGGAUGGAAAAGGGACAAUUCCAACAUCCUAGAAGAUUGGCUCCCAAGAAGAGAAAAGGAUAAGGGCACAAUCUGUCUCAUACCUCCCAUCACAUCCCCACUGAGGUCCAGUUUAACGCAAAUACUCUGUAUUUUUACUGAACCUGGGAUGUUCCCCAAAGCCUUCCAUAAGGAAUUUAACCAUUCUUCACAGGUUCUGCGUUGAACAUCACUUUGACCUCUGACAUUUCAUUCCUCUCUGAAGAAAUACCACUAUGUCACAAUGGAAACUGUUGCUAAUAAGUUGUGAUUUCCCAAAGCGUUACAGUUUAUAAAUGCUGUCUUAGGUGACUCGCCUCCCUUCAGCCUCCACGCUUUCCUGGGUUCCCUUGAAAGACUUACUCUAUCCUCCUCCACCUGGCUGCCUGCCAGGGGGAAGAGAAGCAGGGAAGGAAAGAAACAGAAAGAGAAGGCCUUAGCCCUCGUCCAGGCUCCCCAGCUGCUUCCCUGCCAGGGCCCUUUUGGCCAGAAGCGCCACUCCAAAGCACUGGGGAAUUCACUCCACUAGUGUGUGGGCCCCUUUGGAGCCCCCACAGCUCCCUGGCGGCUCUGUACUCCAUGGGAAUGACACGUCCUCUCAUCCUCCAUUAAAGCCACCGGAAGGUGAGCCUAGGAAAGUCUCACUGCCACGGGACAGGGCCGAGAGACCAGGUGGGCCAGGAGAAAUCUUAUACCUUCCCUCUCUGGCCCAGGGAGUGGAGAAGGGAUAGAAUUACCAGAUGGGGUUUGGAACAGAUAUAUUUGCCUCAAUCAGGGCAGCUGCUGUCAUUUUGAAAUACUGUGGCCACCAAAAGACACCACAUACAACAUAGAUGAGACAUAUCCACAAAGUAAUGAUGCUAUUUUUUUCUUUGUUUCAACAAAUAGACCGGAACGUUCGUCUCCUUAAUUCUCACAACCAGUAUCUUUAUUCCUAUCUAACAAAUGAGAAAAAAAAUCCAAGUUAUUGACGGCAAAGGUGCCUGCUUUGGUGUCCUUUGUCGUGGGCAUGCUCUCCCAGGUAGACUCUAGAGGCCUGCAGGACACAGGGUCACACCCUACUUUGGCCUCAGCCUGAUCAUCCAGACUUGUAUGUCAGACUCGGCUCCAAAGAGGCUUUUGGUAAUUUCCAAAUAUCAAAUUCACCCUUCAAAGGACAAAGAUUUGUUAGUAGGGAGGAUUUUCAAAAGAAUACGCUGAAAGCAACUGCAAAAGAGGGGGUACUGCAAAACCUUUCUGAGUCUAAGCAUAGCCGCAGCAUUCAGAUAAGCAUUUAGUCUCCCCAAGGAAAAAACAAGGAAGGGGAUGACAGUGACAAGGAUGAAUAAGUUCUGCUGUGUUUGUAUUAAGAUAGAGAAGAAAAAACAAGUCUCCCAAUUUUACCCUCACCUUGAAUAAUAAGACAGGCAGAAGCAGAAAUGGGUAGUGGAAAUGCACUCAGCGUUUUGGAUAGGAAAAUUCAAAUGCCUUUCAGACAAUACAUGACUGCUAUUUCACCCCAUUCCCUUUGAUGAAAAAGUGAAGCUGACUUCCACCAUCAAGAAUCAGCGGAACAGACAAAUUCUUGGGAUAACAUUUUGUUUGAUCCUAAUCUACAACAUCUGUAACAUCAAGGGGAAAAAAAAAAGCACCCAGACCCUUAAUCUAUGCCUCCCACAUUCCCACCAACUGAACAAGCCCCCUCCUAAUAUAAGCACAUAGGAAAACAUGCCUUGGGAAUUUGAACAAACUGUGAAGGCAACCUAAUGAAUAGACAGACAUCAAAAUAGGAAAAGAAAAAAGCACUCCUUUUUUUAUUUUUAUUUUUUAUUAUACUUUAAGUUCUAGGGUACUUGUGCACAACGAAAAAGCACUCCUUUUUUAACCAGGUUUUAUUUAGAAGAAAACAAAAAAGAAACUCAAAGUCAAGCAGUUCCUAGUUAACCACGGUUAAAUAUGUGGCAUUUAUUUGUCCCUCAUUAAAAAGAAAAAGCAUCCUAAGAAUUCCAAACUCACCAAUUUAACACUCUCUGGGACUGGAAAAAUACAUUCCCAAGAUAGUUUUCCUAAAAAUUUCCCGUAGAGGGCACUAGAGAGGUAUGAUUGAGGCUAGCUUGGGAAUCACAGUCAUUUCUGGUAAAAGUUCUUUGAUGUGAGGAAUGUCCCAGUCUGGUACAGUUGGCAAAAGUUCACUCUGGGGAAUUUUGUGUGUGUGUGUGUGUGUGUGUGUGUGUGUGUGUGUGUGUGUGUGUGUCUUGGGAAGGGGUGGUUGAGGAAGAAGAGUGCUAGUCUGGUAUUCCUUAACUCCAAAAAGGAAAUACUGCCCUUGAUUUAUUUUCACAAGUUAUCUGAGAAACAAAUAGCAGCCUUGGAAAAGUUCUAGGUCUUGUUUUUGUUUUGUUUUUUCAUUAAAAGGGGGCCCAGCUGAUGAAAACAAGUUAUGAAAUGACCUAUGUUUGUGUAACUGGCUGGAUUGCGUAAUGCUCAGGCCCUGAAACCGUAAUAGUCAAGCAGCCAGGCAGGGCAUAUAUCUGGGAGAUGUUUUCCUAGGAAAGUUAGGAGAGAAAAAACAACAGCAAAAAGAAAAAUCCAAGAAGGGGAGGUGUGUGCAACGGUUACUGACAAAACAAAAUCACCAAUGACCAACCUUUGAGAUUAAAACUAUAACUGGAACAGGAAAUAUUUUUCAUGCCUCAAGUUCCUGCCAUAUAUAAGAACAGAGGCUGUAACAAAGACUAGUCUGCUCCCCCCACCCCCAAAGUCACUGGAGCUCAUGGCCAUGUAUUAAGAUCCAGCUUCAUGAAGCUAGAGAGGACGGGAAAGCUCUGGGUUGAAGAACUGGCAACAAACUAAUCAGGAAUAUUGGACCCCCAAAAGAGAGAGCUGAAAAAAAUAAAAUUCACUUCCCCAGAGAAAAACCAGAGAACUGUCUCAUAUGGAUCGGUCCACUGAGAUGCCAUAAAAGAGAAAGGCCCAUCCACUAAUUGCCAGGAAAGUCUUCCAGUACAGGAAGCGGAGAGAAAUAAAGUGAUUACAGGUUUUAUCUGGUAUGUAGUAAAGUUACCUUGAGCCCAAGAUCGGGCAAGGUCAUAGCAUAGACUUGUGAAGGAACAAAAGCCUCUGAGGUCAGUCCUUAGGACCACAGAACAAUUUUGUUCACACUUGGAGCAAUGACAGAAAAAUCCACCAGUUCCUCCUCGUCCCCCACCCAACCACCACCACACCAAGGAGCGGACAGGCCAAGAAACUUGUCUCAAGUGGCAUUACCUUGCCAAUCCCUCCGGUUUGAAAGGCGCCUCACACACUGCCGGGCCGAAUGGGCAGGCGUCUAUGCGAAACCCCGUGCACUGGUUAUUGCUAAUUGCAAAAUACUCAUGUGUUACAGCAUGCUAGGAAUUAGCCAACAGCUGCUUUUUGCUUCGGUAAUGAGGCCCUAUUACACUCUGCUGGACUGAGUUCUCUUCCUUCUUCCUAGCACUGGUUUCCUGUCUGAUUUUCUUCCAAAACCGGGAAUUGCCUCCGCUCACAUCCUGGGCUCAAAGCCCUAGUGACACAGAUUAUUCAGUUGGGGCACUGAUGUCCGGUCUGACUUCCCUCCAGGCCCCAGGGUCUAUGCUAAACCAGGCAGUGAGAUUGUAAUACUCCAAUGAUCACUGCUAAAGACACAUUAGGGAAAAGAACAGAGAAGAAAUCAAAAGAUCCCUUCCUGAUUUCAGGGAGGAGGAGACAGACAGGCGUUUGGGGUUUGUCGAACGGGAGACGGAGGGAGUGGGUACAGACUUCAACCUAUUCCCUCAUUAUGUUUACAUUCAACACAAACCACUAGCGGGGCUGGGAAGCAAACAUAAUCAACAACUUUUCGGAUUUUAAACUCAUCACCUUGGUGCUCAUUACGAAGGGUGCAUUGACUGCACCCUCAAUGAACAGACUAGGCUGUCUCUACUGUGGGUGCUUAUAGGAGCACCAUGGGAGGCAGAGGGAAGACAGAAAAGCCAUUUUGGGGACUCACCAGGUAUAGGGAAUCACUUUGGAACAAGGGACCCCCCCAUCAGAUCCAAAAGAGAGCCACGUUCCAAAAUUCUUUCCAGCUGAGUCCACCCCUCCCUGGAAGCCCACCCUAGCCCCUUCUAGAGGCCAAGGCCACCGCCUUAUGGAGCAUGAGCAUCCCUUGCUGCAGCCAACUAUGCUAGACUCCACAGAUGCUGACCACGGUGGGCUUCAUGUUGUAUUGGGCCUGCGUUAACCCAGCUCUCUCUCGAGACAGAGCGGGUGGGGGAGCUGCAGCAGAGGGCAGACACGCCAUCAGCACCCCCCCGCCAACAGCACCUUCCUGGUAUUUAUAAACACAGAGAUCACACGCACAAUCCCUCCAGUGCAAACCAGUCCGGCUGCUUUAGAAACAAGUUGUUUUCUGCUUCCAGAACCACCCAGGAGCCUGCGUGAUGUCUCUUCCCCCACCCGACCCCCUCUUCCCUCUGCCGGUCUCCUUGCUCCAGGUGUGGAGCAGAGAAAAGGCUAUACCCACUGAUGAACAGGGAUCCACACCUGGGGAAGAAGCAAGUAUGACUUUCUCUCCUGUGGCUUUACACAACCUCCUUGAAAUUCCAAGAGCAACCCUCCCAGCUAAAGUCUUCUCAGAUGUGACACGAUCUGCACAAGCAGAGGCGGCACAGGGUUUGGCUUCCAGUUGGGAAAUGAAGCUCCAAGGGCAGCCCUACUAUGGCGGGCUGUGUGACCUGGGCCAAGCCCCUUGACAUCUCCAGACUCGGCUUCCACAUCUGCCACCACCAGGACACUGGAUUGAAUGUUGGGUACGUUGUAAGGCAAGGGAGACACAGAAGUCCUAAAGGCAAUAAAGCUUUUCCCCACUGCCCCUCCAUCUGGACGAGUCUCCUGCCAAGCAUCUUCAAGUCCCACUUUGAAACACGAUUCUGCCACCUUCCUGUUCUGAGGAUCUGGGAAAGCAAGGGGGAAGGGGCUAUUGGGAGUCCCGCUUGCUCCAGGCCCAGACCAGGAGGCUCAGGCAGGCUUAUCUACUUCUGAUGUGGUGGGGGGCCCAGGAUGCUGCCAGGGUCUCACAGCCAUGGUCUCACAGCCACUAUCAGCCUGUCCUCAAGGGUAUAAGAGAAGCUGGAAGCCUAGAUGGGCACUGCCCUCAGGCAACUUCCAAUCCAGCCAAGAAGAAUAAAGAGUAACACACAAAAUAUUGGGGGCAUGAGGCAAUAACUGUGGGUACACCUAUAAAAACCUCUAAUUGGGCUUACCUGGUACCAGACAGUAUUUUAAUUGGAUCAUAUAUAGUGCAUUAAUUCAGUUAAUAUUCACAACACCCCUAUGAGGUAGCUACAAUUAUUAUCCCCAUUCGAUGAUGGGGAAAACUGACAUCAGAAGAGGUCAACUUGCCCAAGUUUCCAGAGCUGAAAAGCAACAGAGCUGAGAUUUCACUGCAGGUAUUCUGGCCCCAGAGUCUUGGUACAAAUAGUGUUAAUGAACAAGUCUUCUUCUGGUAAGAGCACCCCAAUUUUCCUUUGGAGAACCUCCACUUCCUCAUUUCAUGUGCCAUGGGUGACCCUACCCUUGAGCUCUUGAGGUGAACACAUGGACACACGAUCCAGUCCUGACCAAACAGAAUAUCUCACUUCCCUGGCUACAGUUAGUGAUAGGUUCAGGAUUGUAGCAAUGACCCAAGACUGGCUUCUGAGAGUCACAUUUGAGACUGUGGCUCAAACUCUUAGAGAAGCACUCGUUUUUCAACUGAGACACUACAGUCUUUACUACUCCUUGAAGACGGACUACCAGGAAGAAAGCCAACCUAGAGGGCUGCAAAGCUGAGCAGUGGAGAACAGCAAGUUCCUGAUGACAUUGUUUGAUGGCCUAAACCCCAUUAUACUUCCACUGGUUAUCUCCCUGGACUUUCCUGUUACACAGAAAUUAUCCCUUUUGUGUUGAAGCCAAUUUGAAUUGGAUAUCUGUCACUUACAACCAAAAAGGUCCAAAUGUGCUAGUGAACACAGAGCACAUACUGUGAGCAACUACUCUUUUUCUUCUUUCUUUCUUUCUUUUUUCUGAGACAGAGUCUUUCUCUGUCACCCAGGCUGGAGUGCAGUGGUGCAAUCUCGGCUCACUGCAACCUCUGCCUCCUGGGUUCAAGUGAUUCUCCUGCCUCAGCCUCCCGAGUAGCUGGGAUUAUAGACACGUGCCACCACGCCCGGCUAAUUUUUGUAUUCUUAGUAGAGACGGGGUUUCACCAUGUUGGCCAGGCUGGUCUCGAACUCCUGACCUUGUGAUCUGCCCACCUCGGCCUCCUAAAGUGCUGGGAUUACAGGUGUGAGCCACCGCGCCCGGCCCGAGCACCUAAGCUUUUCAAGACAUUUCCAGAAAAACAAAUGCAGGUAAGAAAGGAUCAGUCUUCAAAGAACUUGGAAGCUGGUGAGGGAUUACAAAGAUUCUCAAAUAACUUUAAAACAAGUCAGAACACAAUUGACAGCACAAGGCAGCUACCCGGGUUCUCUGGUUAAUGCAAAGGGUGAGAAUUUUCUAUAUUGGAUGGAACACAUCAGAAAAGUUCUCACGAAGGUGGUAGCAGUGAAAUUGGCCUCAGAAGUCUGAUAGGAUGUUGGCAGGUGAAGGCAGGGAAGCUACAGGGCAGACAGCAUGAGGAAGGGCCCAGGUUCAGGGAAGUAUGGGCAUGCAGGGGCAAGUGUAAAUUGAUGGGAUUGCCUGGGACCAGAGGAAAGGUCUAAAACGUACAGUCUGAGGCUGGGGCGGGGUGGGGAAAGGAUGGUUCUGAGGUAUCUGAAGUAUCUCCAAAUAUCUGAAGAUAUUCCCCAUGGAAAAGAAACUAGGCUUAUUUGGAGUGACCCCAGAGGACAAGACUACGACUAAAAAUGGACGCUCGCAAAUGGAGGAAGUAGACCUGACCCCUGACUAAGGAAGAUGGUGCUACCUGUUUGGGGCAAAUGUUCAAAAAGAGGCUGUGUCUGUAUGGUGGAUGCUGUUAAAAGGGACUCAGAAACCAAAUGAGAGUCUGAAUUAGCUGAGUUUAACAUUCUGUGAGUUUUGUGCCAGACUUGGGACUACUGCAGAAGACCCUGGGAGAGUUGGGAUUGAAUUCCAAAGGCAGUGCUGAUGGACACUGACUUGAGGAGCCAGGAAAGAAGGCAGGAACAGUGGUGGGGAUCACAGCCUCACCUGUAUCUGUGCACUUCUAUAAAUUCACAGACUGGGAAUUUUUAAUGUGAACUGGAUAUUAGAUGAUGACCAGGAAUUGUUUUAAUUCUGUUAGGUGGGAUAAUACCAUUCACUGUGCUGUGUAAGAUAAUGUCCAUAUUGUUUAGAGAUGCAUACUGAAGAAUAUAGGAUGAAAUGACAUAAUGUUUGGAUUUUUUAUUUUAAAUAUUUCAGCAAAAUGUGGGGACAAAUUUUAUAUACAUUAUUUUUUCACACAUAUGUGGUAUUCAUAUAUACACAAAUGUAUAUAUUACACACAUGUAUAUGUACAUACAUAUAUGGGUGUAUAUCUAUGUGGGUAUGUGUAUAUGCUACAUGCAUGUGCAUAGCUGGUUAGCAAAUAGAAUAGUUAACAAAAUAAGCCAGACACAAGAUAAUACAUAUUGUUCCAUUAUAUACUUUUUUUUUUUUUUUUGAGACGGAGUCUAGCUCUGUCACCCAGCUGGAGUGCAGUGGCACAAUCUUGGCUCACUGCAACCUCCACCUCCCGGAUUCACAAGCGAUUCUCCUGCCUCAGCCUCCCAAGUAGCUGGGAUUACAGGCCCCUGCCACCAUGCCUGGCUAAUUUUUGUAUUUUUAGUACAGACAGAGUUUCACUGUGUUGGCCAGGCUGGUCUCAAACUCCUGACCUCGUGAUCCGCCCGCCUCGGCCUCCCAAAGUGCUGGAAUUACAAGCAUGAGCCACGUGCCUGGCCUAUAUACAUUUUUUUAAGGCAAAUGAAUCUAUGAUGGUAGAAGUCAGGGCAUGGUUGGCCUUGUAGGGUCAGGGGAAGGCAGAGACGAGAGGGGUCCAAGGGCCUCUGGUGCUGGCUGAGUGCUGUUUCUAGGCUGAGUAAUGUGUGCACAGGCCUGCUGGCUCUGUGCAAACUCAUUGAGCUGUGCACAUGAUUUGUGUACCUUAUGUAUGUUUUAGACUUCAAUAAAUUCACUCCAAAAUACCACCCCCUACACACAAACACACAGACACAGACACACAGACACACACACACACAGACACACACACACACACACACACACACACACACACACACACACACACGGGGAGAGAUCUGAAGUAAGUAGGAUUCCUCCAUUGAUCAUUUCUUGAGAAGCGGGGAGAAGACAUGCUCUGGGCUAUGCUUUAAGCAAGAGUUUUCCAAACAAAUUUGCUACUUUCCAGAGUGAGAUGUUUUUUUCCCAUGACCCAUGGGGCAUAUGUCAUGGGCUGCAGCCUGAAGUUGAAAAGUCUGGUUUUAAGCUGAUCUCUCUGGUGGCAGGGUAAAGAAUGGAAGGCAACAGGAAGAGCCCAGAGAGGAGGCUGGCAGCUUGUGUCUUCUGCCAUGGUUCAGGAGAGAGGUAGGGAGACUCUGUAGCAGGGCCAGGUGACAGGAAGGCAAGUGUGCUUCAGAGAAAGAGUCCAGCUUCAUUGUGUGGGCAGGCCCUGCCACUCCAGCUGCCUGGGGUAUGCUCAGAGGGACAGGGGAGGCCUGCACAGACUCAGCCAGACACCCCAAGGACAACACACGCAGAGUGCAACCAGGUGCU